GCGCAUGUACGUAGAGAUUGAUGCAGAGAAUGAGGUGCUUCUCUGUCGAUGAAUCCAGACAUGUCAUGGUGUUUUGCAUGCAUAUACAGACAUCAGCGUAUAUGCUAGCUUGUGCGCCAAUGUAGUAGUGCAGCGUAAGUACUCUCGCUAUUGAAAAACUCAACAUUGAAAGUUACCAUUCAUCCUGAGGGUCAGUACCGCUUGCGUUUUAAUCCGGUAUUAAUGUGAGUAUCAGUACUGGUACUAAAUCGCAACCUCCCCUUACGUGUCAGCCCCCCUUCUCUCUCAUCCCACGCUCACCCCCUCCCCACACUUAUUCGCUUGUCCCCUCAUCCUCUCACCCACGCCUCUCUCUCUUCUUCUCCCCACCGAAUCACCUAUCUCUUCCUAGCUGAAUCCUCUCCCUCUCCCCCA
Molecule: long non-coding RNA, 414 nt
Filed under: Setaria viridis
Lineage: Eukaryota; Viridiplantae; Streptophyta; Magnoliopsida; Poales; Poaceae
Description: long non-coding RNA (SVIR_LNC000391)
Source: RNAcentral